Long non-coding RNA from Hirundo rustica (Barn swallow), 288 nucleotides. RefSeq lists it as uncharacterized. The record is from RefSeq and is a predicted model, not a curated record. The transcript is spliced from 3 exons. NCBI's taxonomy places the organism in Eukaryota, Metazoa, Chordata, Aves, Passeriformes, Hirundinidae.
CAUCUGGUUGAAAAAGGGGAAAGAAUAUGCACUGUGAUUACUGUUUUCUACUGCUCCACCUCCUGGGCCCUGCUCCCAGAGACAGAAUGAUAAGGAUACUGGCAGUGCCACCCAUAAAUAUUGAAACUGUGUCACCUGAGGGAAGAAAAUGAAGACAUCUUCCAAAAAUGGAAGUUAUAUAAAAACUACUGCGUGGUACAUAAGGGGCGUUCUCUGUUUUAAGGAUUGGUUCUCCUGCUGGGGAAGUCGAAGAAAAAAUUCAGGUGGUGGAAGAGGAAGUCCAGUCAG